AUUAUUUCACCUUCAGUGUGUUUGAUUGAAUUUUUCCGGUGUCACGACAUUAACUGCUUCUUGCCACAUAUUUAAACAAUCAACCUCUGUUCUCCCAUCUCUAACAAUACCUCUAUGUUUAUUAUAAGUGCUAUCCAAAUUCUUCGUCAUCGUAAUAAAUAACACUUCACAGUACGACAAAAAGUUGUUCUGAAAAGAACAGUUUGGUUUGUGGAAUUGAGAAGCUUGAUAAAAAGGCACGAAACUACGAUAAACUAGACGUUUCGAAACACACGCAAGGUGACAGAAUGGGUGACAGAUAGCAACAUACCCUUAAAUGCAUAGUACAGAGUCGCGCCAACGUCGCAUUUCUGUACCAACCGUAUAAUUUCAAAUAAACUGUUUUUAAAUUAUAACAACACAUCCCAUUUAAAUAUUUAGGUUGGUAUGUGAAAUUAUUCCAGUAAUGACGUGCAACGGAAUAUAAUAUAUAAUAUGGAAUAGAGUGUAUUCCGCACGAGUGGAAAGUUCGUCACACGAGCCGAAGGCGAGUGUGACGGUUCCACGAGCGUUGAAUACCUAUUCCUUACAAGUAAUAGACAUAAUUUUUUCUACUACUACGACGAAUUUUUGCAAAAUAUGUAUAAAACAAGCAGGGUUAACGAUAGACAAUUCACACAUUAGUAGGUACGUCUAUGUACGGUGGGUUGGUAUAGCAGAUCCCUGUGGCAUAUUUGACAGAUUCUAAAUGGCUGUAUAAACAAUUUUCUCGACAAUUUCUCUUCGCUCAUUAUUAUCCCAGAAAAGGGAUACUAACUUUUCUGUGAUAUUAAUUACAAAUGUGCACAUUUGUUGAAUGUGUCCUGUCCUGCGCAGUGUAUGAAUCGGCGUGGAUCAUUUAGAUUUAGAUAAACGUAAACGAUAAACGUAUUCGAUGUGUGCGACCGGUAUGUAAUUCAUGAUGUGCAUUCAAAUACAAAAUGCUACAAAGAGGACGUUAUGGAUGCAAAUCAGAAAUAAACUCGAAAAAGUUGUAUGUUAGUUUUAAAACUUCCUGGAGGAAAUGUGUUCUGGAUGACCAACAAUGUUAACUGUUUGGAUCUGGAUGUUCUUUUUGUAUAGUGCAGUGAGGUAUACCAACGUGGGUCCCCCGUAAUUGUAAACUUUCAUUGUACGUUAGUUUUACGUAUUGGGUAUUCUAAUUACAGUUCUACAGUUCCACCUAAGUCUUGUAUGUGGUCGAUUUUUAUGUUCCACGAACACGAUUCGUGCUUACGACAAGCACCACUAAUGCCAACUAUAAGAGCAACCUUUAAAUGUAAAAUAGAUAUGAUGUAACGAGUAACGAUUUGAAUGUGUAAUGUUAUAGUAGAUAUAAACUGUCGAGGGGGCUUUUUGAAUAAACAUUUUUACUUUG
Photinus pyralis (common eastern firefly) is the source of this 1396-nucleotide long non-coding RNA. RefSeq lists it as uncharacterized. The record is from RefSeq and is a predicted model, not a curated record. Lineage: Eukaryota; Metazoa; Arthropoda; Insecta; Coleoptera; Lampyridae. The transcript is spliced from 3 exons.